Molecule: transfer RNA, 71 nt
Filed under: Crella elegans
Lineage: Eukaryota; Metazoa; Porifera; Demospongiae; Poecilosclerida; Crellidae
Description: tRNA-Arg
Rfam family: tRNA
About the family: Transfer RNA (tRNA) molecules are approximately 80 nucleotides in length. Their secondary structure includes four short double-helical elements and three loops (D, anti-codon, and T loops). Further hydrogen bonds mediate the characteristic L-shaped molecular structure. tRNAs have two regions of fundamental functional importance: the anti-codon, which is responsible for specific mRNA codon recognition, and the 3' end, to which the tRNAs corresponding amino acid is attached (by aminoacyl-tRNA synthetases). tRNAs cope with the degeneracy of the genetic code in two manners: having more than one tRNA (with a specific anti-codon) for a particular amino acid; and 'wobble' base-pairing, i.e. permitting non-standard base-pairing at the 3rd anti-codon position.
Source: RNAcentral
AUGUUUGUAGCUUAAUGGAGAGCGUUUACCUUCUAAGUAAAAGGCUGUAGGUUCGAAUCCUAUGAAGCAUA